AUGCAUUGGAAGAGGUCUCAGAAGUGGCGCCCUCCUCCGGAUGCAUGCGCUAAAAUAAAUGUUGAUGCUGCAAUUUCACAAAACGCAAAUAGAGGAGCAAUGGCAGUGGUAUGUCGAGACUCCACUGGCCGAUAUCUGGGUGCAUCAGCGAUGGUGAUAGAUAAGAUUACUGAACCGGAGACGCUCGAGGCUAUGGCCUGCAGCGAGGGGCUAUCUUUGGCCCUGGAUCUCAACAUGCAGGACGUCCAAAUCAACACCGACUUUGUGGCCACGGUAAAACAUGUGAACGAGCCGUACAUGGGGCCAACUGGCCAAGCAAGGUAA
This 324-nucleotide ribosomal RNA is filed under the name Triticum aestivum (bread wheat). RNAcentral's name for it is "partial small subunit ribosomal RNA". Lineage: Eukaryota; Viridiplantae; Streptophyta; Magnoliopsida; Poales; Poaceae. The record is from RNAcentral.